CCUACGGGUGGCAGCAGUGGGGAAUAUUGCACAAUGGGGGAAACCCUGAUGCAGCGACGCCGCGUGAGUGAAGAAGUAUUUCGGUAUGUAAAGCUCUAUCAGCAGGGAAGAAAAUGACGGUACCUGACUAAGAAGCCCCGGCUAACUACGUGCCAGCAGCCGCGGUAAUACGUAGGGGGCAAGCGUUAUCCGGAUUUACUGGGCGUAAAGCGCUCGUAGGCGGUAUGUCAAGUCAAGGGUGAAAUCCCCGCGCUCAACGUGGGAACUGCCUUUGAAACUGGCAAACUGGAGUGUGUGAGAGGAUAGUGGAAUUCCAGGUGUAGGAGUGAAAUCCGUAGAUAUCUGGAGGAACAUCAGUGGCGAAGGCGGUCUGCUGGACAGCAACUGACGGUGAGGCGCGAAAGCGUGGGGAGCAAACAGGAUUAGAUACCCUGUAGUC
RNAcentral lists this ribosomal RNA (439 nucleotides) under uncultured bacterium. RNAcentral's name for it is "partial 16S ribosomal RNA". It matches the Rfam family "Bacterial small subunit ribosomal RNA", at positions 338 to 795 of the family's 1533-position model. The record is from RNAcentral.